AGCAGCCGCGGUAAUUCCAGCUCCAAUAGCGUAUAUUAAAGUUGUUGCAGUUAAAAAGCUCGUAGUUGAAUUUCGGGACUAAUAUGUCGGUCGUACUUUGUACGUACUAGCAUUAUUGGUUUCUCCCUUCUGACGAACCACGAUGUCAUUAAUUUGGUGUCUUGGGGAAUCAGGACUGUUACUUUGAAAAAAUUAGAGUGUUUAAAGCAGGCUUACGCUUGAAUACAUUAGCAUGGAAUAAUGAAAUAGGACGUUUGAUUCUAUUUUGUUGGUUUCUAGGAUUGACGUAAUGAUUAAUAGGGAUAGUUGGGGGCAUUAGUAUUCAAUUGUCAGAGGUGAAAUUCUUGGAUUUAUUGAAGACUAACUACUGCGAAAGCAUUUGCCAAGGAUGUUUUCAUUAAUCAAGAACGAAAGUUAGGGGAUCGAAGACGAUCAGAUACCGUCGUAGUCUUAACCAUAAACUAUGCCGACUAGGGAUCGGAUGAUGUAAUUUUUAAUGACUCAUUCGGCGCCUUACGGG
This 520-nucleotide ribosomal RNA is filed under the name uncultured Glomus. RNAcentral describes it as "SSU rRNA". It matches the Rfam family "Eukaryotic small subunit ribosomal RNA", at positions 569 to 1094 of the family's 1831-position model. Lineage: Eukaryota; Fungi; Glomeromycota; Glomeromycetes; Glomerales; Glomeraceae. The record is from RNAcentral.